AAUGAACGCUGGCGGCGUGCGUAACACAUGCAAGUCGAACGUGAAAGUCCCCUUCGGGGGAUGAGUAAAGUGGCAAACGGGUGAGUAACACGUGGGUAACCUGCCCUCUGGUGGGGGAUAACCCUGCGAAAGCGGGGCUAAUACCGCAUAACAAGUCGCUAAAUAAUUAGUCGACUUCAAAGCCUUCGGGCGCUAGAGGAGGGCCCGCGUCCCAUUAGCUAGUUGGUAGGGUAACGGCCUACCAAGGCUGCGAUGGGUAGCCGGCCUGAGAGGGUGUCCGGCCACACUGGAACUGAGACACGGUCCAGACUCCUACGGGAGGCAGCAGUGGGGAAUUUUGCGCAAUGGGCGAAAGCCUGACGCAGCGACGCCGCGUGGGUGAUGAAGUUCUUCGGAACGUAAAGCCCUGUCAGGAGGACGAAGCUCUGACGGUACCUCCAAAGGAACCCCGGCUAACUCCGUGCCAGCAGCCGCGGUAAUCGUAGCGUG
This 489-nucleotide ribosomal RNA is filed under the name uncultured bacterium. RNAcentral describes it as "bacterial SSU rRNA". It matches the Rfam family "Bacterial small subunit ribosomal RNA", at positions 29 to 534 of the family's 1533-position model. The record is from RNAcentral.